This 462-nucleotide ribosomal RNA is filed under the name uncultured bacterium. RNAcentral describes it as "bacterial SSU rRNA". It matches the Rfam family "Bacterial small subunit ribosomal RNA", at positions 917 to 1382 of the family's 1533-position model. The record is from RNAcentral.
GGGCCCGCACAAGCAGUGGAGUAUGUGGUUUAAUUCGAAGCAACGCGAAGAACCUUACCAGGGCUUGACAUAAUACUGAAUAUGAUAGAGAUAUCAUAGACCUUCGGGACAGUAUUACAGGUGGUGCAUGGUUGUCGUCAGCUCGUGUCGUGAGAUGUUGGGUUAAGUCCCGCAACGAGCGCAACCCCUGUUGCUAGUUGGUAACAUUAAGUUGACCACUCUAGCGAGACUGCCGGUGACAAAUCGGAGGAAGGUGGGGACGACGUCAAAUCAUCAUGCCCCUUAUGUCCUGGGCUACACACGUACUACAAUGGCUAUAACAGAGGGAUGCCAAGCCGCAAGGCGGAGCGAAUCCCCAAAAAUAGUCUCAGUUCAGAUUGUGGGCUGCAACCCGCCCACAUGAAGUCGGAAUUGCUAGUAAUGGCAGGUCAGCAUACUGCCGUGAAUACGUUCCCGGGCCUU